This 72-nucleotide transfer RNA is filed under the name bacterium (Candidatus Gribaldobacteria) CG08_land_8_20_14_0_20_39_15. RNAcentral describes it as "tRNA-Trp". It matches the Rfam family "tRNA". From Rfam's summary of the family: Transfer RNA (tRNA) molecules are approximately 80 nucleotides in length. Their secondary structure includes four short double-helical elements and three loops (D, anti-codon, and T loops). Lineage: Bacteria; Candidatus Gribaldobacteria. The record is from RNAcentral.
GGGGGUAUAAGCUCAAUGGUAAACUGCGGCUCUCCAAAAGCUGACUUCCGGGUUCGAGUCCUGGUACCCCCG